This 37-nucleotide non-coding RNA is filed under the name uncultured Cetobacterium sp. RNAcentral's name for it is "Selenocysteine insertion sequence 4". It matches the Rfam family "Selenocysteine insertion sequence 4". The record is from RNAcentral. RNAcentral also lists the same sequence under 1 other name. Lineage: Bacteria; Fusobacteriati; Fusobacteriota; Fusobacteriia; Fusobacteriales; Fusobacteriaceae.
GGAACUUGUACUCGUUGUGGAGCAACGAUGGUAAAAG